Molecule: ribosomal RNA, 892 nt
Filed under: Scytalidium cuboideum
Lineage: Eukaryota; Fungi; Ascomycota; Leotiomycetes
Description: eukaryotic LSU rRNA
Rfam family: Eukaryotic large subunit ribosomal RNA (bases 297-892)
Source: RNAcentral
UCUGGCAUCGAUGAAGAACGCAGCGAAAUGCGAUAAGUAAUGUGAAUUGCAGAAUUCAGUGAAUCAUCGAAUCUUUGAACGCACAUUGCGCCCCUUGGUAUUCCGAGGGGCAUGCCUGUUCGAGCGUCAUUUCAACCCCUCAAGCUCUGCUUGGUGUUGGGCAUUCGCCGCUUUCCCGCGGCGGGCCUUAAAAUCAGUGGCGGUGGCCGUCUCAGGCUCUAAGCGUAGUAGCAACCUCUCGCUCUGGAGACCCGGCGGUGACUUGCCAGACAACCUUUUUACUUUUUUCAAAGGUUUGACCUCGGAUCAGGUAGGGAUACCCGCUGAACUUAAGCAUAUCAAUAAGCGGAGGAAAAGAAACCAACAGGGAUUGCCUCAGUAACGGCGAGUGAAGCGGCAACAGCUCAAAUUUGAAAUCUGGCUCCUUCGGAGUCCGAGUUGUAAUUUGUAGAAGAUGCUUCGAGUGUGGCCCCGGUCUAAGUUCCUUGGAACAGGACGUCACAGAGGGUGAGAAUCCCGUACGUGAUCGGGCGCCUACGCUCAUGUGAAGCUCUUUCGACGAGUCGAGUUGUUUGGGAAUGCAGCUCUAAAUGGGUGGUAAAUUUCAUCUAAAGCUAAAUAUUGGCCAGAGACCGAUAGCGCACAAGUAGAGUGAUCGAAAGAUGAAAAGCACUUUGGAAAGAGAGUUAAACAGUACGUGAAAUUGUUGAAAGGGAAGCGCUUGCAACCAGACUUGCGCGUCGUUGAUCAUCUGGUGUUCUCACCGGUGCGCUCAGCGAUGCUCAGGCCAGCAUCAGUUCUGGCGGCUGGAUAAAGGCCCUGGGAAUGUGGCUCCCUCCGGGGAGUGUUAUAGCCCAGGGUGCAAUGCAGCCUGCCGGGACUGAGGACCGCG